UACGUAGGGGGCAAGCGUUGUCCGGAUUUAUUGGGCGUAAAAGGCUUGUAGGUGGCCACGCCAAGUCGGAUGUGAAAUCUCCCGGCUCAACUGGGAGGGGUCAUUCGAUACUGGCGGGCUCGAGGCCGGUAGGGGGAAGUGGAAUUCCCGGUGUAGUGGUGGAAUGCGUAGAUAUCGGGAGGAACACCAGUGGCGAAGGCGGCUUCCUGGACCGGUUCUGACACUGAGGAGCGAAAGCCAGGGGAGCAAACGGG
This 254-nucleotide ribosomal RNA is filed under the name uncultured bacterium. RNAcentral describes it as "partial 16S ribosomal RNA". It matches the Rfam family "Bacterial small subunit ribosomal RNA", at positions 524 to 776 of the family's 1533-position model. The record is from RNAcentral.